This 424-nucleotide unclassified non-coding RNA is filed under the name Hevea brasiliensis (rubber tree). Lineage: Eukaryota; Viridiplantae; Streptophyta; Magnoliopsida; Malpighiales; Euphorbiaceae. The record is from RNAcentral.
GAACGUUUGACAUUUUUUAAUAUACCCUUUUACAUAUUAACAUAAACUUUUAUGUUAAAAGUAUACAUUUAUAAUUUAAACAAUUUAGACUGCUAUACUUCCUUUUGAAAAGGCUUCUGCCUUGCUUUUCCCCCAAGGCCAUACGAAAUCCCAUCACCUUAACGCCACCUUUCGCAACACUAACACUGGAGGUUCUGUAUUGUAGCAAAGAAAAUUACGAUUUUUUCAUAGCUCAUUAAUAUUGAAAUGCAACUGGAAAAAUAAACAAAGAGCUAAUUAUGAAACAAUCCAAUAAACAAUUAUGCUAGGCCAUAAUCGGGGUUCGACUAAAUUGCACGGAGGAAAUUAUGUGUGGCAUUAUCCUUCAAUCAAUUGCAAAGAGGAAAUUAUGUGCAAAGAUCCCAUUUUUUGGUUUUCAAUACUA